This is a long non-coding RNA of Anolis carolinensis (green anole), 1459 nucleotides long. RefSeq lists it as uncharacterized. The transcript is spliced from 2 exons. NCBI's taxonomy places the organism in Eukaryota, Metazoa, Chordata, Lepidosauria, Squamata, Anolidae. The record is from RefSeq and is a predicted model, not a curated record.
AUUACCCCGCUGAUUGUUGAGGAGGUUCUGGCUUUGAGACUGCUGCACACUCAUCAUGCUCUGAAUUUGGCCGCCCAUGUUGUUGCGCUGGUUGCUGAGGAGACUCUGGCCCUGGGACUGCUGCACUCCUAUCAUACCUUGAUAAACCACCUGCCUGAACUGCCCCAAGACAUGUUGAUGCCCAAGGCAUGAAAAUGCAAGCAACAGUUUCCUUCAUUUAUCCAUGCUGGGUACAAUUCACACUAAAUGUCUCCUGAGUAAAUCAGAUUAAAAGGACCAGGAGUUGUGCAAGAAGAAGUCUUCUGCAGCUCUUGCUCAUUUCAAUGAGGCAGAGAAAGACUUGCCAAGGGAUUGUGACUCAUCCCAGCGAUCUGUCCCCGUUUUCCAUCUGCUGUCUUCAGUGUUGCUCUAAGUCUACAUGCCUUUAGGUAGGACCCUUUGGGAAUCUGACUAUGAAUAUAUUUCAGCCUAACAAAGGAGGUGGAAAUGUGAGUCUGAAAUAACAUUAUCUUUCUGAUGUGUUGAACACAUCUAUAGGACUGCUGGAGGGGGAGAUUACAAAGAAAGAAACUUAGUGAGAUGAGGCAAAAUCAUCUAUAUACCAAAUCUCCAGAGAUCGCUCCAGAAAUCAGUAUGCUGUAAGCAAAGAACAAGAGGACUCAAGGUGAAUCAUGGAAAGAUGCCUGCAAGACAGCAUUAUUGGACAAUUUUGGAUCCUUUAAACUGGGAGACUGCAGUUCUCACAAUAAGCAGCUAGGAUUGAUGGGAGCUGUUAUCCAAUAAUAUUGGGAAACCUAGCCUUUCCAUACUCCGGCCUAUACAAGUAAAGUGUGGUGGGAAGUAACACAUAUCAUAUGUGCAAAGACUAUGCCUAACUUGGAAGGCUUUCUCACCCCUCAACCUGUACUUAGGAAUAUCACGAGGGUGAAAAAUAAACUAUGCAAACUGAGGAACAAUGCAACCUAGGGCAGAAAUCAAGAUUAACAAAUCAUUGGACAUCAGAGCCAUAUUGCGAAGCUCACAGUCUCCAUCUCCUGUUGUAAGUAUUUUAAACAAACUGUUGCCAAUAUAAGGAGCAAACCAAGCAUCACAGUCUCCUUAAAGACUUAAAAGUCACUAACCUUGCACUAUUGGAUCAAGCAGACUAAGUCAAUGAGUGCCACCUGGUGGUUGUUAAGGUCAUGUAUUGCAGAAACUCCCUUUGAUGUGUACCAACCUGCUAUUCUGUCCAAAAAUUCCACUUUCAACAAGUCUCCUACCAAAACACAUUUUAGGAGCAGUUAACAAGUAUUCUAAUGCGGUCAUAAAAGCGGACAGUGCGUAGUAUAAAAGUCCUGUGUGAAUUAACAGUUCAAAGCAUGCUGCUAGCAGUUCUGAGGGCCUCCUCACACUAUUUUUAAGACCAUGUUUGUGAAAUUGUUUCAGUAAGUGAGCACCUAAAUAUAUGCAUUAUAGAUAA